This is a long non-coding RNA of Mytilus trossulus (common blue mussel), 2574 nucleotides long. RefSeq lists it as uncharacterized. The transcript has 4 exons. Lineage: Eukaryota; Metazoa; Mollusca; Bivalvia; Mytilida; Mytilidae. The record is from RefSeq and is a predicted model, not a curated record.
CCACGAUGCUGAUGAAGAGGCGCGGUCAUUAUCCCCGGAACACAUUGUCAACCUUCUCAUUUAUAUUGGCAGAAUAUAUAAUUACUAUUAACUGACAAAAAUUAAGGAACUGUUGUCAAAAUGCAUGGAGUCAAAUUUGUUGGGCAAGGCACAGACAUUCAGCUUAACAUCAGAAAACCUCUGAAUUCUUGGAACUGUUUAUCACAUGCACAUUAUCAACAUGAUCAAAUCAGAAAGUGAGAUAAUUUCUAUGAUGAAAAGUGAGCUAGAAGUAAGGUGCAAACCAUGAAAGUACCUGACAAGUGGACUUGUAAGAUCUGGUUAUCUGACUUCAUUGGAAGAUGCAAUUGAACAGUUUAAUAAACCAGCUCAAUCAAAUCUAGAUCAUUGUUCCAAUACUCCAGCAAAAAGAUUUAUCAUUAAAAUUCCAGGAAGUCACAGGAACAGAUGUAUUUUAUGGUUUGAUCCUAAACACUAUCAUCAUUAAUAUGGGUUUAAUAUUAUACCAGACUAUUGAGUCUGAGGAUGGAAAAGUUCUUUUCCUUACCGGUAGUUUUCUGUUAAAAUGGAGAACCAAAAUUAUGAAAAGAAGCUUUUUUUCUGGCAUGUGAUAGUAAUUAUUUUAUUGAAGUUGUAUACUGGGUUUACCCUGCAUCCAUUUUCUUCUUGUCUCGUUUUUGGCUAAUGCUUUAAGCUGUUUUCAUGAAUUUAAUGAAUUAUUUAUUUCUAUUGAAAUGAGCUACCUUUUGUUUAAUAGAAAUUUUAGAUUUUCUUUUCCUAGCUAUGGGGAUUUUUUUUGUUAAAAAAUAGGGUGAUUUUCCUGUUUUUGGACAAUAACUCAUGAGUGCUUUGGGCAGUUUUCAUGGAACUUUGAUGAUUGCGUUAUUUCUUUUGAAGUGAGCUCCCUUUAGCUUUUUUUUCUUUAUUUCUGAUAUGACAUAUAGGCGUUAUGGAGUGUUAUAAAUGAGAGGCAUAUCAUAUGCUCAUUGCACUGCUGUAUAUUUAACUAGUUCAUUGUAAAUUCUAUUUCUCAAAUAAGUUUUGUGUGUAACAUCUUUUUUAUUGUAUUUUUUCUUUUAAGUUCCUCAUCAUGCUCAUUUUUCUCUUUAAUACCAAGUUAAUAUAAGUUUUUAACCAAUUGUAACCUGUUGACUUUUUUUUUUAAACAUCAAUUAUAGCAUCAACUAUAUUUAUUGUAUAUUCUAACUAUUUGUUGUGAUGUUUUUUUGUUGUUGUAAACUUUGAAUUGUGAGAAACAAUAAAUGUCCCUUGUUUCAUUGUGAAUGUCACAUGUUUUGUAUCUUGAGUAGCAAUCAGGUAUUCUUAAAAGGAAACAUUUAUUUAAUCUGAACCUCCAACCUCAUUUAGAAACCAACUUUAAUUUUAUUUUCUGAAAAUAUUUAACCAUAUUUAAAUUAAUCCUACAAGUAGCAAGAGAGGCUUUAGGAUUUUGUGAAUGGAAAAGAAAACAUUGUCUGGUAUUGUAAGGACUCUUAUGGGUACAAUUUGUUUCCACAUUUAUGAAAAUUAUAUCAAAGGUUUAUACAUGUAUCAGCAAUGUCUCAUCCAAAUAUAUCUGUUUUCAGUGAUUGUGAUGAAUUUUAUAUUAUAUAUCUGUUAUCUGGGUUUUUUUUUAAAUAUGUAUAACUACUGUUAAUUCAGAAAUUAUUGCGUGCAUUUAUUAUUGUGAUUUUGUCAGUUUAAGACUCGAAUACCAUUUUGAGAAAAAUCCUGUUUAAGUCAUAUAAAAUAUUUCAAAUGCGAGUUUAAAUUAUUGCGUUUACAACUCUGUCACAUUUUUCACAAUAAUAAAAACCUCGCAUUUAUUUCUGAAUUUACAGUAUCUAGUUUUCUUGUAUGAAGCAAAAUGUUAUGUUAUGUUGAUUUCAGGGUUAAUUAUUUUAACUUUGAUAUUUAAUAUUUCACUAUGAAAUCAAAAAGACUUCACAUAUUUUUUUUUUUUUUUCAUGUCAAUUAAGUUAAUAACAGUUUGGUUAUUAUUCCUAAUACCCUAAGGCACACAUGUAUUGUGUGCAACAAGAGCAACACACUAUAGUAUACAAAAUGAUAAAUUGGUCAAUAAAUAUGACAAGAGAAGAAAAACGCAACCCUUUUAUCACUGAGGGUGAAAAGAGUUUUUAUAAGUAUUUGUGAAAUAUGAUCAGGGUAGUACUAGCAUAGGACAAAAUUUUCCAGAUACAUAUUUGAUGGGUAAAAACUCAAUCAAUACUUAUAAGUGUCAUUUUUUAUGCUUCUGUCAAAAAUGAGAAAUAUAUUUAUUGUUGCUUUAACAUGUUUACGGGUAUAAUAUGUGUUAGGAUUAUGUUUUCUAUCGAAGAUUUGGAAGUGAUAUUAAAUGAGUAUUUCUGAUGGUAUAUAUGCUUUGUAGAAAUUAAAUUUUUGCGCCUGUCCCAAGUCAGGAGCCUCUGGCCUUUGUUUGUCUUGUAUUAUUUUAAUUUUAGUUUCUUGUGUACAAUUUGGAAAUUAGUAUGGCGUUCAUUAUCACUGAACUAGUAUAUAUUUGUUAUGGGGCCAGCUGAAGGACGCCUCUGGGUGCGGGAAUUUCUCGCUACA